Impatiens glandulifera is the source of this 465-nucleotide long non-coding RNA. RefSeq lists it as uncharacterized. The transcript has 2 exons. The record is from RefSeq and is a predicted model, not a curated record. NCBI's taxonomy places the organism in Eukaryota, Viridiplantae, Streptophyta, Magnoliopsida, Ericales, Balsaminaceae.
UUAAUUUAUACUUUGGGUGGUUGUGAUGGUGCCACGCUGUGUGCGUCUCAAUAAUUCUAUGCCCUUUUCUUUCUUUUUCAUCAUACAUACAUACAUACCCAAAUUAAACCAAUCUUAUUAUGGCAUAUGGAAGGUGGCUCGAUGUUGGUCGGGAUUGGAUCUGUUGAAAAAGUAUCUUUCUUAUGUAUAACGUAUCAAGAUUUUGUGAAUUUUGAACACAUGGAUUUAUGUAGAUCUAAGAUUAAAGAUUCUAACUCAUUUUUGUCUGAAAAUUCAGAUCUAAUAGAGGGUAUCAACGGAUCCAACUCUAAGCUAUUUUGAAAAAACGGGUUGGACUUCAAAUUUAGAUCUACACCAAUUUUGUGUACAAAAUUCUUGAUUUUUGUUUGUAAUCUUGUAGGUGUGAAAGAUAGGGUUCCAAAAAUGUGAAGAGUGUUUUCUCCUAUAAUUUGGAACUUGUUUAAU